This 407-nucleotide ribosomal RNA is filed under the name uncultured soil bacterium. RNAcentral describes it as "bacterial SSU rRNA". It matches the Rfam family "Bacterial small subunit ribosomal RNA", at positions 26 to 444 of the family's 1533-position model. The record is from RNAcentral.
AGAUUGAACGCUGGCGGCAUGCCUAACACAUGCAAGUCGAACGGGAGUAGCAAUACUCUAGUGGCGGACGGGUGAGGAAUACGUAGGAAUUUGCCCUUAAGUGGGGGAUAACCCGGGGAAACCCGGAUUAAUACCGCAUGACCUCGAAAGAGCAAAGUGGGGGAUCGCAAGACCUCACGCUUUUGGAGAAGCCUACGUCGGAUUAGCUAGUUGGUGAGGUAAUGGCUCACCAAGGCGACGAUCCGUAACUGGUCUGAGAGGAUGAUCAGUCACACCGGAACUGAGACACGGUCCGGACUCCUACGGGAGGCAGCGAGUGGGGGAAUAUUGGACAAUGGGCGCAAGGCCUGAUCCAGCAAUCGCCGCGUGUGUGAAGAAGCCUUGGUUAGUAAGCACGUUUAAGUAGG